AGGACGAACGCUGGCGGCGUGCUUAACACAUGCAAGUCGAGCGGAAAGGCCCUUCGGGGUACUCGAGCGGCGAACGGGUGAGUAACACGUGAGCAAUCUGCCCUUAGCUUCGGGAUAGCUCCGGGAAACCGGAAUUAAUACCGGAUAUGACUAUGGCUGACAUCAGCCACGGUGGAAAGUUUUCGGCUAGGGAUGAGCUCGCGGCCUAUCAGCUAGUUGGUGGGGUAACGGCCUACCAAGGCGACGACGGGUA
Molecule: ribosomal RNA, 253 nt
Filed under: uncultured bacterium
Lineage: Bacteria
Description: partial small subunit ribosomal RNA
Rfam family: Bacterial small subunit ribosomal RNA
Source: RNAcentral